Hipposideros armiger (great roundleaf bat) is the source of this 1599-nucleotide long non-coding RNA. RefSeq lists it as uncharacterized. The transcript is spliced from 7 exons. The record is from RefSeq and is a predicted model, not a curated record. Lineage: Eukaryota; Metazoa; Chordata; Mammalia; Chiroptera; Hipposideridae.
GAAAACUGAUACUCAGAGGUGUUAUACAACUUGAAAAGGUCCCACAGCUAGGAAGCCACCUGCUGUUUUCUAACUACAACUAAGGAGCCCGAACUAAGGCUGAAUGUGGUUAUAAAGACUUGAUGGUCCAGGGGUCAGUCCAGAGAUAAUGACCUUAGAAAAUCCUUUCUCCAGUGAUGCUCUCCUCAUUUUCUGGCUCCUGGUUGUACCUACCUGGUUGCUUGCUGGACACACAGAUAAUAGCAGACCUCGAUGCAUAGUUACCUAAUGAAAUUCCUUUGCUUGAGAUGUUCUAAAUUCAUCAACCAAAAGGGAAGUGUUUCAAUAAUAACUCAAAGUUAGAGGUGUUUCCCCCAUAAAAUCUGGAUUCAUCCUUGCCUACAGCAAUACUUUUGGAAAAAACUAUCUAUCACUCAAAAUCAAGAUCAGAUGUCAUUUCCUUUAUAAACUACCUCCUGAAUCCCUAAUCAGCUCCUUCGGAACAAAAUCAAAGGGGAAGAAAGGGCAAAAGAAGAAACAACCUGUCUGUUUUCCCAGAGGAGGAGGGUUUUCAUGUUAGAUGGUCCCAAAUCACCUAAACUCGUUUAUGUCUUGAGCUGAUUAUAUUCAGAAAGAGCUGAUGGCACUCUGGAAAAAUCAGCCAAAGUCUUCCUUCUACUUGUGAACUUGGACAUUUUUGGUCAAAACAGAACUAGUGAUCUCUGAUAGUAUCAGAUCUAAUCUCGCUCCACAGUUUCUUGACUUGAAACCGAGCUUCUUCAUUGGCUGUUACCACUUCAGUGGUUGCAUGAUGCCAGGCAGACAGAAGGCACCAAGCACUACAAACUAUACUUGUGCAGCUCAGUGUGCUGUGAUAAAUAAUGCAGCGCCAUACGAGGGGGACAUUUUAAAAAGAGAACAAGCAGACACAGAAAUGGAAAUUAACCCCAGGCCUGCCAGCCUCCAUCAGGAAUAAUGGCGUCACCUAAUUCCAGGGUUAAAUGAGAGGUGAACCUAAUGGAAUCUCAACAGUCCUUGAACAUGGAAGAAGGAGGCAGAAGAGUCAGAGAAGGACUCGACCUUGUUUCUGGCUUUGAAGACGGAAGGAAGCCAAAGGCCACUCACUGAAUGCAGGCAACUUCUAGAAGCUGGAAAAGGCAAGAAAAUAAACUCUCGCCCAGAGCCUCCAGGAAGGAACACAGCCCUGUGAACACCUCGAUUGUAUGCCAGGGAAACCUGUUUCAGACUUGUGGCCUACAGAAUGCAUGGCAAGAUCCUAAAUUUGUGUUGCUUUAAGCCACUCAGUUUGUGGUAAUUUGUGACAGCAGCAGUAGGAAAGAAAUGAAGUUAUGGAUGUAAACUGGAAUCAGAGUGAAGAGCCCUGUCAUAAAGCUUAGCAGUCUGGCCCCCAUGCUGUAGAAAGUGGGGAGCAGCAGGUAUUUGAAAGCACGGUCAGCUUGUUGAUGGAACCAUCUCUCGGUAUCAGUGUGGAGGCAACUGAUAGCAGAGGGACCACUGUGGAGACUGAAAAUAUCCCAUGUGAGGGACUAGCAAAACCGAAAUGAAGGCCCUAGAGGCAUUAUUAUUGUUAUUACUAUUUUGUCACACGUUAUUACUUAG